GCCUAUUUUCCUCUCCUCUGCUAUCACGGCCCUGCCAUCCGCUCUCCCGGCAUCUCCGGCGAGUUAGGCCACCGAGAUAGCCACCCAAGGAUCCAGCUCAAGAUGGCUCCUCCAAUGCGUCUGAAUCCGCAACGCAAUGGUGGGGAUCAAGCGAACCCUCCACCUCCGCCACCUCCUCCGCCUCCGGAGGCAUGGCAAGCUGUCAUGGCAGCCACCAACGCCAACACCCAGAUGCUUUUGCAACUCUUGCAAGAGCGCAUCAAAGGUCAAGGCAACCAAGGGAAUCAAGGUGAAGGGCAGUUCAACAAUCAACCUCAGUUUGCUACCCUCAACCAGUUCCUUGCAAAUCAGCCAAAGUCUUUC
Molecule: ribosomal RNA, 363 nt
Filed under: Triticum aestivum (bread wheat)
Lineage: Eukaryota; Viridiplantae; Streptophyta; Magnoliopsida; Poales; Poaceae
Description: partial small subunit ribosomal RNA
Source: RNAcentral